RNAcentral lists this ribosomal RNA (388 nucleotides) under uncultured bacterium. Its description in RNAcentral is "bacterial SSU rRNA". It matches the Rfam family "Bacterial small subunit ribosomal RNA", at positions 28 to 416 of the family's 1533-position model. The record is from RNAcentral.
GACGAACGCUGGCGGCGUGCUUAACACAUGCAAGUCGAGCGGAAAGGCUCCUUCGGGGGUACUCGAGCGGCGAACGGGUGAGUAACACGUGAGUAAUCUGCCCUUGGCUUUGGGAUAACUACCGGAAACGGUGGCUAAUACCGGAUACGACCACUCCUUGCAUGAGGUGGUGGUGGAAAGUUUUUUCGGCCAGGGAUGUGCCUCGCGGCCUAUCAGCUUGUUGGUGGGGUAAUGGCCUACCAAGGCUUCGGACGGGUAGCCGGCCUGAGAGGUGACCGGCCACACUGGGACUGAGACACGGCCCAGACUCCUACGGGAGGCAGCAGUGGGGAAUAUUGGACAAUGGGCGGAAGCCUGAUCCAGCAACGCCGCGUGAGGGAUGACGGCC